AAUGUUUGAUAGUUUUGACACCUUCUCCGCCCUAACAUUUUGGCUCUUCCACCACCACUUCCCCCAUCGCUCUUCGCUUCAGCCAUCCCUCUACCCUUCGCCACUCCUACCAUGUAUCAACCCAUCACCUCACCAAUCGCAAGACUGAUCCGAGUGCUCUCUCCUUACUCCUGCCUAAUUUUCUCGAACUGGGUUCUUCAGUCUGGAAGCCCAGCAAUGGCUCAAAACCUACAGUUGGAAAGACCCUUCUUAAGGACAGAGGUCUAUUUUUUAUGGAAAUCUAGUACUAGAUUGGUGUAUGAGCUCUUUUAGCAUUUUCUCUGCUGUUCAAUGUUCUUUUUAUUGGAGCAUUGACAUUUUUAAAGCCUCUAGGAGAUAAUAAAGUUGUUAUUCUUGAGGAUGAUGAGCAAAACAAGGAUAGACUGCAAGUAGCAUCACAUCCUGGAGUAGCCGAAGUCUGUGUAUAAACUUCACGUCAGAUUUGUUGGCCAACUCUUCUACAGGUCAUUGUUACUAAAACCAUUCACGUGUUAGCCGCUAAUCAGGAGGAGAUUCUAAUAGCUCUCAUGGAAAUGUUGACUUAUGCUGUAACUUCAGGGUGGGACGACUGGAACAUUAUUUUGCAGAAUUAUUACAACAGCAAAAACUGGUUCUAGAUAAUUUUGAUUAUUACAAGGGUGGUUUGGAAUUGCCUUAAUUAGGUUGCGAUUACACUUUUGUAUUACAAAAUUAUGUUUUGUAUAGGCAGAAAACUGAUCCUUUUGGAUUUCUUUUUUCAAUUCACUUUUGUAUAGACAUGAUCAAUACGAUUAAAGCAAAAAAUGUUAUGCAAAGAUUUCUUUAAUUUAUCUUGAGAA
Molecule: long non-coding RNA, 857 nt
Organism: Coffea eugenioides
Lineage: Eukaryota; Viridiplantae; Streptophyta; Magnoliopsida; Gentianales; Rubiaceae
Exons: 5
Source: RefSeq, a predicted model, not a curated record